GUUUGAUUUUAGAUUGGCUCCUACCCUAAAAGAUUGGCUUUAAAAAGAUCUCAGAGUUGGGUGGGGGAGAGCAAACUGCCUCCUUUAGCUCCCAAAUGCAGUCAUUUUAGCCGGCAAAUAAAUUAAGGGUAACAGUAAUAAUAGGAAUUAACAACAGCUAAUUAAAAUGAGGUAAGUUGCCAAUUAUGCAAUGGUGUCUGAACUCCAGAGUCAAUGGGAGAUAUUUGCAGAUGUGAAUUUGAGCUGCACACAGUGUCUGGGGCCCAAGCCAUUGCAUUUUGGUAAUGAAAAUACCCUGGCUGCCUCUGUGUGGACUUUUGGAACGUGGCAGAUGCCAAACUAGAAAAUGUUUACUGAUAGCUUGAAAAUAGGGGCCUCUAGACCUGUAAAUAGUUGCAUUUUUUUCUUUUAGAGAAGUGUCCCCUUUAUUCAUUAAAUAUUGCUAAGAUAAAAGAGAAAGAAACUUAACAGGGAGAUUGUUCUCCUUUCUUCCACUGAAGACAAAUCGAGGAUGCCAUCGUUCCCUGGAUGGGAACCCUUUUGGAGUACACAGGGAGCUGGAGUCCCUGUUCUCUGCAGAGGAAUUUUGAGGAGGAGUGGUGAGAAGACCUGGCCUGACACACUCCUCUGACCAGUUGAAGGGGUGUGGGAGCUUGUGUCCCUCUGCUCUGGCCUCUGUAGACCCUAUAUUCCAGAGGCAUCAGUUUUCAGUUUUCUCUGGGCAGGGUAGUGUGAUUUUUUUUUAUUAAAGCCUCACUACAUCCUUCCGAGAUUGUGUGCUCUUAUUACACCUGCCUUACAGAUGGGGAAAUUGAGGCACAAGCUGUUGAAUAACUUGCUCCAGGUCCCAUAGUCAGUAAAGGGCUCUUGAAGAGAAGGAGGAGACAAGAUGAGCUUAAUUAGCUUUAACCUGAGAUGUGAGCAAGACACGGUAAUCAUAAUUACAGCGCAUGAUAUCAGAGCCCAUUGUGUGGACAGAUGCUUCUGAGGACUACAGAAGUAGAGGGAACAGGUACGAUAAUUCCCAGGUCAUUCCCAUCAUGCAGACCAAAAGCAGUGCUCAGGGAGGCUCCUGGCUGCAGAGCGUGAGGUGUGUACUUGGAUCUGCUC
Molecule: long non-coding RNA, 1110 nt
Filed under: Marmota monax (woodchuck)
Lineage: Eukaryota; Metazoa; Chordata; Mammalia; Rodentia; Sciuridae
Source: RNAcentral